RNAcentral lists this transfer RNA (71 nucleotides) under Camelus bactrianus (Bactrian camel). It matches the Rfam family "tRNA". From Rfam's summary of the family: Transfer RNA (tRNA) molecules are approximately 80 nucleotides in length. Their secondary structure includes four short double-helical elements and three loops (D, anti-codon, and T loops). The record is from Rfam by way of RNAcentral. RNAcentral also lists the same sequence under 2 other names. Lineage: Eukaryota; Metazoa; Chordata; Mammalia; Artiodactyla; Camelidae.
GAGGGGAUAGCUCAGGGUAGAGUGUGUGCUUGGCAUGCAUGAAGUCCUGGGUUCGAUCCUCAGUACCUCCA